Frankliniella occidentalis (western flower thrips) is the source of this 1712-nucleotide RNA transcript. RefSeq lists it as uncharacterized. NCBI's taxonomy places the organism in Eukaryota, Metazoa, Arthropoda, Insecta, Thysanoptera, Thripidae. The record is from RefSeq and is a predicted model, not a curated record. The transcript is spliced from 6 exons.
UCGAGCACGAGAACGACGACGACGAGGGGGGACGACCGUGAAGCGCGGCCGGUGACACCCAGGAAGUCUCGAGCAGAAGGGAGGAAGAAGCUAAAGAAGAUAGGCGAGGUUUUCCCCGAGAAGACCCACGAGAUAAUACACAGGCAAAUCUUUGGGCCAUCCGAGACCCCCAAGAAACGAAUUCCGUUUAACGUUUGGCGGUGUCCGUACUGCCCGUGGCUCCACCAAAAGAAGACGCUCGUAAUAGAGCACCUUGAUGAAGAGCACGCUGAUAUUGUACUAAACGAGCUGAACGGUGUGUACGACGCAGCCACUAGGAUGGAAAACCUUUGUGGGGGUGGACCUCGCAUCCUUGACGAGAUAAAGUUCGACGCCCACGUGCAGACGCUAUCGGCGCACUUUACCCGUAAGGAAAUGAAGGCCAUCGGGGACAUCUUUCAAAACAUGUUGGCCGAGAUCCUCUGUGAGGUGGGCGACGAGACGAGUCGGCCCUCCAAUAGAUACGUGCAGUGGAAAGCGGUACACAAGAGGAUAGGGGAGGACGAGCCAUACGAGAGCCGGCCCAAUUUGUACCAAUUGGAGGACAACUCCGAAUACGAGUCGGACGCGGCCUGGGAUGCAGAACCGGCCCUAUCGUACUCCGAGGACGACGAAAACAAGAGGAAGACGUUCGCGGAGCUGGAUCUGACGGAAGGCGGUAGUUCAGAUGUGGACUUUAGGCCUCCCAAGGGCCUAGUAGUUGAUAUUUCAUCUUCAUCCGAAGACUUGGAAGGCGAGGGCUGCAAAAGGGCAAGCAAGGAAUUUUAACGGCAGAGGCGGUAGGAGCGAUGAGUCCCCAGACGUGGGAGGCUGUCACAAGCGCCGUCGGCCAGGCGAUGGCCUCCGCGCCUGGGCACUUCCACGCUACCGCUGGCACGUCAACCGCUGGCACGUCAACCGCUGGCACGUCAACCGCUGGCACGUCAACCGCUGGCACGUCAACCGCUGGCACGUCAACCGGCAGCAGCGGCUCCCAGGAACACAGGGGGUGGUUGCAGCCUCCCGUCGUCGUCAUCAACGACGACGACAGCGACGGAUCUCCCGGACCCGGACAUCCCCGUGGUCCUGGGCGCACCCGCCGGGCCGCCACAACAGGGUUCGGGCCCGGUCGAGGACGAAGUGAGGGCGUAUCUCGACGAGCCCCUUGGAGUGGAUUUCGAUCGCACAAAGCAGUUAACGAGGCUGAUCGAUUUCCCCUUUUGGCAAUGCUUGCCCGGCAAUACCUGUCCAUCCCGGCCUCAAGUGCCGAGACCGAACGUACUUUUAGUGAAGCAGGGUGGAUUCUAAACAAGAGGCGGAAGAGGCUCUGCAUGACCACCGUAGACGAUUUGAUCAUCCUGCAUGCCAACUGCAAGGACAGGAUUAGGGAGCGCCUCAGCAAAAGAAAGCGGCGCAAGGGCCCUGACUAAUCUAUAAUUACUGAUCUCUAUCUUAAUUUUUUCUAUUUUCGUCCAAGACAACGAGACGACAGUCUCUCCCAAUUUGUUUAUAUUUUUUGUUUGUAAAUGAAAAGAGUUUAUUUUAUGUUGAAAUAUCUAAAAAUAUAUAGACAUAUUUUUAUUUAUAAAAGUAUGAGAGCAGGGACAAGAGACAUGAAUUCUGAUAAUAUGAAUUCUAUUAAAACUAUGAUGUUCAAUAAAUAUUGAAAUUUGAAAGUUACCGGCCGCUAUCCG